Molecule: long non-coding RNA, 424 nt
Filed under: Mytilus galloprovincialis (Mediterranean mussel)
Lineage: Eukaryota; Metazoa; Mollusca; Bivalvia; Mytilida; Mytilidae
Source: RNAcentral
AUAAAGGAAUCCAAAGAGCAAAAAAUAUAUAUAUAUGUCACUGUGCUUGUUUUUCGAGAUAUUAGCCAUUGAAAUUUUGGCGGGAAAAUAUUCUCUCUUGACUUUUCAUAGCUUUAUCAUUGACAAGUUGAAGUUCUCAAAAACUGUUAAAAAGUAAUUACAAUUUUAUAAGACUUUUACAGAUGGCUUAUCAUUAUAUAUGUAAAAGAUUUACAAAAAGAAAAAUGGGGGUCACCGGGCAGAUUUUUUCAACACAUUCAAAUGGAUAAAACCAGAGGAUUCCGAAAAUCUGACAAAAAAUCCAAAACAUGACAAGCCAGCUUCCUUAAACAAAUUUUUUUCAACGCAUUCAAAUGGAUAAAACCAGAGGAUUCCGAAAAUCUGACAAAAAAUCCAAAACAUGACAAGCCAGCUUCCUUAAACA